AGUGAACGCUGGCGGUAGGCCUAACACAUGCAAGUCGAACGGCAGCACAGGAGAGCCUGCUCUCUGGGUGGCGAGUGGCGGACGGGUGAGGAAUACAUCGGAAUCUACUCUGUCGUGGGGGAUAACGUAGGGAAACUUACGCUAAUACCGCAUACGACCUACGGGUGAAAGCAGGGGACCUUCGGGCCUUGCGCGAUUGAAUGAGCCGAUGUCGGAUUAGCUAGUUGGCGGGGUAAAGGCCCACCAAGGCGACGAUCCGUAGCUGGUCUGAGAGGAUGAUCAGCCACACUGGAACUGAGACACGGUCCAGACUCCUACGGGAGGCAGCAGUGGGGAAUAUUGGACAAUGGGCUCAAGCCUGAUCCAGCCAUACCGCGUGGGUGAAGAAGGCCUUCGGGUUGUAAAGCCCUUUUGUUGGGAAAGAAAUCCAGCUGGCUAAUACCCGGUUGGGAUGACGGUACCCAAAGAAUAAGCACCGGCUAACUUCGUGCCAGCAGCCGCGGUAA
Molecule: ribosomal RNA, 506 nt
Filed under: uncultured bacterium
Lineage: Bacteria
Description: partial 16S ribosomal RNA
Rfam family: Bacterial small subunit ribosomal RNA
Source: RNAcentral